UUACAAAAUCUACAGAAAUCCUGUCAGAUGAACAUGUAAAUCCAAUAACAAAAGUUCUAUGUCAAGGUAAUACGCUGAAUAUAGCAUGUCCAAACAACUCUGUAAUAGUUUUUGACUAUGCAAACUAUGGACGUAAACAUUCAGACAGUAAGCGAUGUAGAGAAUUCUUUGGUACUGAGGUAUUUGCUUGUGACAGCCACAAGAGAACACUACAUGUUCUAAAUAAUGAAUGUGGUGAAUCACAAAGAUGUGUUCUCGUUGUAACAACGGAUAAGUUUGGAAAUCAAUGUGUGGGUGUUACAAAGUACCUGGAAGUUAGAUAUCACUGUAAAAGAAAAAUAUACCACGAGGCGACUGGGGUCCCCCAUGACCGAUUUAUUAGUGAACAUCAGAAUGUAACGUCUAUCUGGACCAAUGCUACUCAGACUACAGUCAUAAGCCUUGUAAGUGCCGAAGACAAAUCAGGACAACUUGCAAAAGAGACAGAACAUGUAAUGCAAAACGAUGAAGAAAGCACCAGUGACGAAUUAACCAUUGUCGGAAUUGUACUCGGUGUUGUUGCAGCCUUGAUUAUCUUGGUGAUAGUGACUUUACUUUUCAAAAGAUAUAGGAAAUCAAAACAACGAAAGGUUACAGUACGUACUGAAGAUAUUGAAAUGAAUAUAGAAUCAGAAAACCGGGAUCAGUAUGAUUAUUCUGAAGUAAAUGCACAAUCGAUGGGCAGUAAGGAAAACCAGACGGCUGACAAUGGUGUUCCAAACAGACAGAACCAGAUGGAAAAUGACUAUGAUGUUUCUGCACAUGUGCCUUCAAGAGCAGAAAGUGAACCGUUAACAUAUGACGUCCAUUUGUCCGACAAUACAUAUAACGUAACAGAAACUUCCGGUAAUGAACCCAAAGAUGAUGUAAAUAAUACUUACGAUCAUUUUUUUGGAGAACAAACCGAAGAUCAGUAUGAUAUAGCUGAUAAUAAAGUAAUGGCUGCAACCCAAUGUAAAACAAAUGAGGAUUUAUAUUCUUAACAUAGUUCAAUAAAUUCACAUUUUUGAAUUAAAAUAACAACUGGUUUGUUUCCUUUUUUCUAAAUCUUAUUUAUGUCUCUUAACCAAGAACAAAAAGUAAAAGAAAUGCUAAACCCCCUAUCAUGGAACAUGUUAAAAAUAUUGGCUCCUUUAAAAAACAGUCAUUAGAACUGAGGGCAGAGGUCUUACUAUUUGUUUUCCAUGUGUUCAUUUAUAAUAAAAAUGUUAUUUCUUUGCUAUAUUAUGUUUUGUUUUGUUUUGUCACAAACUAAAUAUGUAUAUAUGACAAUAAAGCUAUUUUUUUAUGGUCA
Long non-coding RNA from Mytilus californianus (California mussel), 1333 nucleotides. RefSeq lists it as uncharacterized. The record is from RefSeq and is a predicted model, not a curated record. Lineage: Eukaryota; Metazoa; Mollusca; Bivalvia; Mytilida; Mytilidae. The transcript is spliced from 6 exons.